GUCCAGGGUAGCCUAGUGGACAUGGCACCUGCCCGGUAAGCAGAAGAUUGUGGGUUCGAUUCCCGCCCUGGACA
RNAcentral lists this transfer RNA (74 nucleotides) under Cordylochernes scorpioides. Its description in RNAcentral is "tRNA-Thr". It matches the Rfam family "tRNA". From Rfam's summary of the family: Transfer RNA (tRNA) molecules are approximately 80 nucleotides in length. Their secondary structure includes four short double-helical elements and three loops (D, anti-codon, and T loops). Further hydrogen bonds mediate the characteristic L-shaped molecular structure. tRNAs have two regions of fundamental functional importance: the anti-codon, which is responsible for specific mRNA codon recognition, and the 3' end, to which the tRNAs corresponding amino acid is attached (by aminoacyl-tRNA synthetases). tRNAs cope with the degeneracy of the genetic code in two manners: having more than one tRNA (with a specific anti-codon) for a particular amino acid; and 'wobble' base-pairing, i.e. permitting non-standard base-pairing at the 3rd anti-codon position. The record is from RNAcentral. Lineage: Eukaryota; Metazoa; Arthropoda; Arachnida; Pseudoscorpiones; Chernetidae.